CCAGCAGCCGCGGUAAUACGGAGGGUGCAAGCGUUAAUCGGAAUUACUGGGCGUAAAGCGUGCGUAGGCGGUUCGUUAAGUCAGAUGUGAAAGCCCUGGGCUCAACCUGGGAACUGCAUUUGAAACUGGCGGACUAGAGUUUAGUAGAGGGGAGUGGAAUUUCAGGUGUAGCGGUGAAAUGCGUAGAUAUCUGAAGGAACACCAGUGGCGAAGGCGACUCCCUGGACUAAAACUGACGCUGAGGUACGAAAGCGUGGGUAGCAAACAGGAUUAGAUACCCUGGUAGUCCACGCCGUAAACGAUGUCAACUAGCCGUUGGUCCUCUUAACAGGAUUAGUGGCGCAGCUAACGCAUUAAGUUGACCGCCUGGGGAGUACGGCCGCAAGGUUAAAACUUAAAGGAAUUGGCGGGGGA
RNAcentral lists this ribosomal RNA (414 nucleotides) under uncultured bacterium. RNAcentral's name for it is "bacterial SSU rRNA". It matches the Rfam family "Bacterial small subunit ribosomal RNA", at positions 508 to 920 of the family's 1533-position model. The record is from RNAcentral.